CCUACGGGUGGCAGCAGUGAGGAAUAUUGGUCAAUGGACGCAAGUCUGAACCAGCCAUGCCGCGUGAAGGAAGACGGCCCUAUGAGUUGUAAACUUCUUUUGUACGAGGGUAAACGCAGAUACGCGUAUCUGUUUGAAAGUAUCGUACGAAUAAGGAUCGGCUAACUCCGUGCCAGCAGCCGCGGUAAUACGGAGGAUUCAAGCGUUAUCCGGAUUUAUUGGGUUUAAAGGGUGCGUAGGCGGUCGGAUAAGUUAGUUGUGAAAUCCCGAGGCUCAACUUCGGAAUUGCAUCUGAUACUGGUCGUCUAGAGAGUAGUUGAGGUAGGCGGAAUGUGUGGUGUAGCGGUGAAAUGCUUAGAGAUCAUACAGAACACCGAUUGCGAAGGCAGCUUACCAAGCUACUUCUGACGUUGAGGCACGAAAGCGUGGGGAGCAAACAGGAUUAGAUACCCGGGUAGUC
Molecule: ribosomal RNA, 460 nt
Filed under: uncultured bacterium
Lineage: Bacteria
Description: partial 16S ribosomal RNA
Rfam family: Bacterial small subunit ribosomal RNA
Source: RNAcentral